Molecule: non-coding RNA, 29 nt
Filed under: Mus musculus (house mouse)
Lineage: Eukaryota; Metazoa; Chordata; Mammalia; Rodentia; Muridae
Also listed under: 1 other name
Source: RNAcentral
UACAAAGAGCAUUCCAGAAUCUCAUUGCU